RNA transcript from Alligator mississippiensis (American alligator), 8464 nucleotides. It is a transcript of the gene named microcephalin 1, with no coding region annotated. The record is from RefSeq and is a predicted model, not a curated record. The transcript is spliced from 18 exons. NCBI's taxonomy places the organism in Eukaryota, Metazoa, Chordata, Crocodylia, Alligatoridae.
GGGAGGGCGGGCGGUUGGCUCGGAAGAGGUUUGAACGUUGGCGCGCGGCGGUCAUGGAGUCUGUGCUGCGAGGUGUCUCCGCCUACGUGGAGGUGUGGUCCGCCAACAGGACGGAGAAUUAUUCCAAGACCUUUGCGCAGCAGCUGCGAGACAUGGGAGCCCAAUCAUAUUUGUCACAUUAUUUCAGCUCAUCCAUCAGAGUCCAUUAUCAGGUUUCAAAAACUUUUAACAAGCAUGUGACUCAUGUAGUCUUCAAAGAAGGACAUUUGGCUACAUGGAGAAAAGCACAGCAGACUGGAGUAAAACUAGUUUCCAUACUGUGGGUAGAAAAAUGCAGAGAAACUGGUGUGCGGGUUGAUGAAUCUUUAUUUCCUGCAGUGUAUGCCAGUGAAGGAUUACCCCUACAUAUUAAAAAACAUAAAUGUAUGCAACCAAAAGAUUUUAUUGAAAAAACACCAGAAAAUGAUAGAAGACUGCAACGAAGAUUAGAUAAGAUGGCGAAAGAACUAGAUAUACAAAAAAACACUUCAGAUAUACCAGUUUUAUUAUUUGAGGAUGAUGGCUCGCUAGUGUAUAGCCCUGUUAAUAAAUUAAAGGAGCAAUGCAACGCGAUGGAAAGGAGAAUAAAAGACAUGAAGGACAAAAGGGAAAAUCUUUCCCCUACUGCUUCACAAAUGACUCCUGUGUCUACAUUUAAUUCAAAAUGGCCUGAAAAUGGACCAUUCCUGGGUUUAACCAGUUCAGCAGAUACAUUGUCACCAGAAGAGCAAAUCAGUGAUUCUUUAAACUCAAGUUUUGAUGACCUUUGGGGAAAUUGUAAAUUGAAGAAACAGAAGAUGGAGUCACUGGAAUGCAUUCAUGUGGCUCAAAGUGAUAUUUAUGUUUCUACACCUGCAUUGGAGGAUUCUUCAUUCUCCAACAAUGAUCGAGAAAACUUAACUCCAAAGCAAUGUAAUAGAAAACAGUUAAACAAAAAACUGAUCUUGCAACACUCAUUGGGGAGCGACCUUUCAGAAAAGGGAGAAUCUGAAACAUCUCCUAACAAGAAACAGAAUUAUGAUGAUAAUCUGACUUCUGCAUCAAUUGUGACCAACAGUUCAUUUCUCCAAGAAAGAGACUUGAGUUAUUCUGCUUCUUCACAAAGAAUAGUCCAGUUAGAGGCUGCUGCAGGUACCAAAGACAGUCACUCGGAUUUAUUAGUGAGCAGCAAAGAUUUUAAUGUGUGUUCAGUUGAUGUGAGUGUUCCUGUUGACCUAAGGGAUUGUGCUGUUGGACCUAAAUCAAAGGGGAAAUCAAAAAGAAAAAGAUCUAGUACAAAACUGACUACCUCAGUAUUAUGUAAGUCGGGGUCUGAAAAUGAAUUCCUGGAAGCAAUGACUACACGUAACAAGAUUUCACAUUCUGAGGAAGGUUUAUAUGAAGACUUUUUUUCAUCUUCUGACUUGAAUAAAAGUGAAAUACAAGGAAGCCACUUUCUUCUUGGAGUUCAACAGAAAUCAUCAGGUUCUCCUGAAGUGAUAUGUAAAGCAGGCUCUUCAAGGAGAGAAUCAAAUGAACAGUGUAGCGCUCUUUCCAAAAAGAAGAGAAAAACUGUUCAGACAAAUGACACUUUGUUAAAGAGUGACUGCAAACUAUCUGAACUUCCAGAAAGUACAAAAAGUGUAACUUUAAAUUGUAUGGUAGGUGGAAAAAAUGCUCAGACUGCAGAAGACUUAGUUUCUAGCUCACUGAAUCAACUCCAUCAGAACAGCUGGGAAAAAAACUGCAGAACUAAUGUGAAUUGUUCCUCUUAUUCUUCUGAAGCAACUCUACAGGACGAUAAUACUGCAGUGAUGGUAUCACUUUCUUUAAAAAGUGAAAAGAAGGGCAUAGUGGAGCCAAAAGAACACCCACAUAUUUUCCCAGAUUCUGCAAAUAUGGAAAAGUCAACAGGCGAUAAGAAGGAAACUCUACUCAAAAAAUGCAGUCCAAGUGUUGAAAAUGAAAUAUCAGUAUGUGAUGCCAGAUGUGGCUCUCGUGAAGUUUUUAAUGCAAAACAGAAUAAGCACAAUGGGGAGUUAAAGAACACUGGGAGAAUCAAAAAGCCAACAAGAACACUAGUCAUGACAAGCAUGUCUUCUGAGAAACAGAAUACUGUAAUUCAGGUGGUGAAUAAAUUAGGAGGCUUUUCAUUUUCAAAUGAUGUUUGUGAAACAACUAGUCAUGUAGUUGCAGGAAGUCCUCGUCGUACAUUGAAUGUAAUGCUGGGAAUUGCUCAUGGCUGUUGGAUUGUGUGUUAUGAAUGGGUGCUGUGGUCUUUGGAAUUUGGAUGUUGGAUCUCAGAGGAACCAUAUGAACUUUCAGCCAGUUUCCCUGCAGCUCCCAUCUGCAGACUUCAACGCCACCUAUCAACAGAAAAAUACCAACAGGAUCUUUUUAAAAAUCAGCCUGUAAUGUUUAUAUCUCUUACCAGCCAACCGCCCUGUGACAAGCUAAGUGAACUUGUACGAUUAUGUGGAGGAAAAGUUUGUAAAACCCUGCGUCAGGCAAAAAUCUGCAUAGGAGAAUAUUUGGGAAAGCAGCAACCUGAAAUAAAAUAUUUAUCAGAAAAAUGGAUAUUAGAUUCAGUCACUCAGCAUAAGAUAUGUCCUUUGGAAAACUACAUAUUUCAGUAAUGAGCUAACUCAAGAGCUCCCAUAUGGUUUUGAGGAAAUUAAGCAUUUGGAUUUAGCUUUAAUAAGAUUCUGAACAGUGAAUGAAAGAUUUAUCAAAGAGCAAGUAAUGGAUUUGUGAAUGCAGCCAAAUGUUCUCUAAAGUUUUGUCAGUGUCAUCUACAACAAUGCUAAACAGAAUACAAGAUGGUGUUUCUCUUCACAGCUGGCUAUACAUAUCCAUUUAUUUUAAAAUGAAACUGUGAAAAGCAUUAUGGAAGGAAACAAACACUUUAAUAUGAUGAAUUCACUCCCACCAGAAAUAGCACGUGGUGAUGGCAUCCUAAGCUAGUGUCAUCUACUUUGUGGAGUUCAUCUCAUAGAUGAGGAGAAGUCUUAUGUUCCAAAAUGGUCAAUGCAAACUCUGGAAUCGGUUACCUGUCUUGCUAAGUAUGAUCUAUAGAUCAUCUUACAGAGACUUUGGAAAAUGAUCCCCCUUAUUUUCCACCCUGUAUUUUCAGCAAUUGAAACUAAAGUUGAACUUUAGUAUCUUUAAGAAGUAGAGCUGAUUCUCAUGAACAUAUGAUGGGAAAGUGUAACAUAUAUUUGCCUGUACCAUUGCAGAAGGAGAACACCUCUUUGGGGGAAAAAAACCCAGUGUUGUCUCAGAUUAUGUUUGGAGCAAUAUAUAUCGUUAUCAGUAAUGAAGCUGUAAACUACUGCACUAAUGCCAAUAGGGAAGCCAUCUGGUAAGUCUGUUUAUUAGAGCACAGAACUGCUUAGUUCCCUUUAAGACUCUUUUUAUUUCCCUUAGAAUGCUGCUGAGUAGUUGGGAGAAAUAUAGAGAUGUUAAUAAAAUGAUUUAUGAAUUUAGUAAUAUUGUUUCCAUACACUGAAAUAUCUUGAUAAAGAGAAUAGCUUAUUUUUAUUGAAAACACAUUUGUAUAAAAAAAUUCUGUGGAUGAACUCUUAAUUCUUGCUCUUUUCAAAAACAAAGGAGGCUGGAACUAAAAUAAUUUAUUUAUGCCUAGUGGUGGGAAGAGAAGAUGAAGGACUAGGCCCUUGUUAAAAUGGGACGUGGACAUGAUAACGCAAAAGCAUGAGCAAUGAGAUUUUGCAAUGCCAAACUUGCUAGAGGUAGUUGAGAAUGUUUAGAUAUUCCACAAUCAGUUAUGGAAAGGGUUGAUUCACUGAAACCUACAUUUUUGAUCCUCUGAGUUUCUUGGUCUAGAAGGGAAUGGGAGGAAGGCACAGGAUGUAGGGAGUGCAGAAACAGAUUGACCAGCGGAGCACGGGCUUGAACAUCAUCUCUGACAUUCUAGAAAGUCCCCUAACCACUAGUGUAUGGGCCAUUCCUAGGUGAGUAGUUUUUCACAAAGACUUACUGAAAUUAUUCUUUUCAUUCCGGUACCAAACUCUAGCAAAUUUUCUCAUUUAUGUGAAAUGGAAUUCAUAUUUUCUAGGCAGCCCUAAAAUCUGCACCUAGUACUAUCCAGUACUAUCCAGUUAAUUCAGAAACCAGAAUCAUGGGACACCUAUACAUGAGCAGCAAGGCUGCUCCUAUGUGCUGUAAUUACUUGAUUAAUCAAAUCUACUGGAGCAAGCGCACUCCAGCAGCCUCCAGCAUCUCAUGUAUCAGCGUCCCCACACUUCAAAAUUGUGGUAGGGGCACAACUAAAGCUUGUUCAAUGAGUUUUAAAGCAGCCCUGCCACCAUUUUAAAGUGUGGGGAUGCCGAUACACAGGACACUCUGGGUGCUUUAAUUAGAGCGGAUCUCAGGAUGCCUGUACAUGAGCAGCAAGGCUGCUCUAAGUAAGGUGCCACCCACUCCCAGAACACAGGUAUAAAUGCACAAUAGAUGCAGCUGUCCCAUGUGUAGUGAAAUUAGAUCAAGUGGAACCAGAUCCCAAGCAACUCCAGGUUUGGGCUUUGAUUAUGCAAAAAAAAAUCUUACCCCACUUUUACUCACCUGGACAUAAAUGGUAAUAGUGUGAAUAUUUUAAAUAUAGCUCUGAGGGCCAGGCCCUUUUGAGAACAAGAACCAAAUUUGUGCUGUGACUUAGUGAAAUCAUUCUGGGUGUAUUUCCAUGUGACUGAAUUUAAUUGUAAGUAUGUAAAAUCCCUAUUCUGCUAUACCUGAAAGGGAAAAUAAUAGUGAGGAAAAGGAGACGAUAUAUUUUACUGUCCACCACAUCACCAACCUUUCUCAUUUUUCAUAGAAACUCUUCCUUGUUCCAUGAUUUUGCUUAUGUCCCAGCACACUUACUUGUUCCUCAUUAAGUGUAGGUAGAGCAGAAACAAGUUUAGCACCCUCGGGACAAACAUACUUGUCAUUAAGGCUGUAAGGCUGAAUUGCAGAACAUUACCAAUCUGGUCCAUAUUAAGUAAAAGAAUACAAAAAUAUGUUUACAAGCUACCAUCAUUGUAAACAUCAUCAUCAGGGAUCCUGGUUUUCCCUGAUAAAAAAAAAAAUAUCCCCAAUUUUCAGUUUAAAAAUGAAACACCAUAAUGGGGUUUCAUUUUAAUCACGGAAAAAUGUGGAUUUUGGGUUAAUUUUUUUAAACCAAAAAUUGGGGUUUUUUUUUAAUCAGAGAAAACCAUGAUCCCUGAUAAUCAUUCAAUACCUGCAAAUUGCUGAAGGAAGUAAUUAAAUAGGGUAACUUUCCAUUUUGAAGCUGUCCUGAGUUUAAAACUAUAGAGAGCUAUAGAGCUAUAUUUAAAACUAUAGAGAACUAUUAAUUUUAAAAGGUAUUGUGACUCCACACAGAGCCUGUGGCAGAAGGCCACCUCUGUUUUUCCCCAAAAACUCUGCUCUGUGACAAUUUGGUUAGGAUGGGCCCAGCAGAGGAUACACACCUUACCCUGUCUCUUUAGGUAACCUGAGCUGGAUACAUUCCUGAGUGAGGGAGGAAACCUGCUCCCUCUGCCUACACGACUAGCAUCAUAUACCUGGGUGAGGGGCUUGCUCCCUGGGGAGCUAGGAACUGCCAGUCUGCCCAGCAACUAGUGAUUCAUUUCAAAUUGGUUGGCUGACAGCCAACAGGUGCUGGCCGCCAUUGGACCAGGUAAAUGAGGUCAUAAGGGCUAUAUAAGUUAAGGACUGCCCAGAAGGAGGGGCAGCAGCCAUGAGGAAGACUCAGAGAGAGAAGAGCUGGUCCAUCUGAAACUUGCUCUCUCUCUCAAAACUCAUGAUCAAGGAACUGCCUGCCUCCAGAGGGAAUCUCCACCUACCUCUGGGUGAUACUUGUGAGUAAGAUACCUGAGAUCUAACUAGAUAUAUAGCUUGCAGUAGUUCAGAUGCGUGAUCAAAAGCUACCUAGCCAUGGGAGUUUGCUCUAUUAGGAUUUCUCUGAUAUUGCUCUACCUGUACCCUAUUCCAACCCUACCCCUUGUAAGCAAUAAAGUUCUCCUUUGUACCUAGUGUGGGAGACUUAUUGGGAGUGGGGCUAGAUUAUGCCUUGGGGUCCCCUUGGUUAGGCUGACUAAGGGAGACCACUACUUGUUCUUGAAGUGAAUCAAGUACCCUUGAGGGCUACUAGGCCUGUGUUUACCAGGGUGCACAGAGCCAGAAUCAAACCCAGCCCCAGGUGGUGGCAGUGGAACCCCCAAGCUAGUGGGUGUGCUCCAGGAAGGGGGUCAGCCAGACAUGAGGCGCCCCCAGGGAGGCACUUGGAGCCUGGAAGGUGGUUGGGCACAGUGAGGUGGGUGGUUCAACACAGGAGUGCCCCCUACUGGCCCGCCACAGAGCCAUAGCAGGAGUUGGAGAUAGUUUGAGGCUUAGCUGACUGUGAUGCUAUGCAAGGUGUUUUGUUUUACUGUCUGAUUUUUAAAGAGAAGAUAUACAAAAUAAUUUGUUCCAGUUUCACUUGUCUGGUGAUUUCAGAACUCGGGGGUCUGUUUCCUCCUCAUCACUUACGGAUGCUGCAAUCAGGACAACCAGGCAAGCAGCAUUCUGGGGCUACAGGCAUAAAUACAAUGGCAAAAAUCACUGCAGGAGCAAGUAGCAACAGAGGAAUAGCUUCAAACAAGUAUAAAGUCAAUAGCACACUUUUUCAUUCAAACCUGUUUAAGUGCUUCACACAAGCCAAAAGAACUACUAUAUUUUCUUAUGUAUAAUACAUAUUUCCCCCCACCCUCAAUGGGGUACAUGCAUUAAGUGGGAACGUUGUUUUCUUUGCUGGAAAAGGAGCAAGCCUGGAAACACUGUGUAUCUCAUGCAGCUUGCCAAGAUGCCUGCUGUUUGUCUGGCUCCAUAAGCUGAAGGGGCAGAGUCCUGUGUUAACUGUCUCAUAAGGCAGGGUAGAUAUUAACCCUCUUACAGCCAUAGCUAGUGGCCAAGCUCUGUAGCUUGUGCCUGAAGCAACAAGUGGGCUGCUGGUAGUACCUUGAUGAGGCUAGUGAUGUGGAAAUAAUAUUUUAUUUACAGGAACUUAUAUUAAAAACUAUUUAGAGUAGAGAACUAACAGUCUUGUUGCAGCCCGUGUAAUGCUCUGGGGCCCAACUUCGUGUGACGCACAGUAAGUCUUCUUGGGAACAUAGAGGCUGCUUGCAGAUGUUAAAAAAAAAAAAAAAGCAGUGCUUUAAUUUAAACUUGGUGUGUUCCCAUACCCAGCCCAGCACAGGCCCAAAAGAGGCAGCACCAUAGUUAGACCUGGCUGACCCAACAUCUUUACAGACCGGGUGCUUAAGUGGGGCUUUUUUGGUGUUUUUAUCUAAUAGUUGAUUGAAUCAGCUUUAGCUAAAAGCACCAAAAAGCCCCACUGAAGUGCCCAAUCUAUACAGACGCUGCAGAGCUGGGUUGAAGUAACCCAAUGCUGCUUCCACUAAAGUGUGUUUUUUUUUUUUGUUUGGUUGGUUGAUUUUAAUCUCUGCAAGCAACCAGAGAGUCCAGGGAGGGUGGCAUCCCAGGAGGCAGCCUGAGUGAGGAAGCAAGCACUUUCUGGUGUUGCAAGAAAUGCAAGCUGCCUGCUGCCAUACCCAGAUUGUCUCCUGGGAUGCCACCCCUCCUGAACACACUGUCUCCAGGACUUAUUGUAUAUCACACAGUUGUCUAUGACUGGAAAAAAUCUUUUCUUCUACAUUCUGCCUUCUAAAAGCAAGGUGUAUAUUUUACUUGGGAGCAUGUUGUUGGCAAGAAAAUAUGGUAUUGGAAACAGAAAAUGGGAUGCAGACACAAAACAUAAAAUGGGAAUGCCUUUUUUUAAGUGUUGGUAGGUACAAACUGCAAUCCCAAAUCCAAUGCGUUUCACCUGAACUUUUGGACAAUGCAAAUCUACGUAGGCUUUUUUAUAUCUAGCUCUAAAAUGAGCCAAACUGAAACUCCCAGAACCAAUUCAAUUCUCAAACUGGGAGAAAAGUUUGAUGUCUGUAUCUCCAAAGUUUGAUAUCCAAACUUCACAACCCAUGAAAUCUCAAAUUUUAAAUCUAAGACAGUUGAGACUUUCCUCCCAAAAAUAAAAGUUCUUUAGGGAGCCUACCUGCCUGAAAUGUGUAGCUCAUAUGUGUAGGUUCAGAUAAAUGCUUGUAAUAACACAUAUGUAUGUGUGUACUAAUAGAAGGAUGUUGUAGAGAUGUCUGGUUAAAAGUUUUGGUGCAAAAAAGAAAAACCUUGAUGUAAUUUUUUUUAUAUCCUACCAGUGGGGUAUAGUUUACUGGAUUUUUUUAGAGAUUUUAAACUGUAAUAUGAGAAUAAUGCAUGAGAGUAACAAUUUACAUUUGUAUGCUAAUAGGUAUUUAUGUUAUACUGUAGUAGAAAUGUCUAUCCAAAUGAUCAAUAUAGCAUAACAAUAGCACUCUAUCAUAUUGUCCUAUGAAUAAAAAUGUAUUUUACCUUG